AUGUUGAGGUGUAAAAACAGACUAAUACGACGGUUACCCUGGCUCUUCGCCCCUCCUUCUCGCAGGGCUCGAGGGACCAUUGCUGAACCUCGCGUGAGACAGAUCAAGAUCAAGACCGGCGUGGUGAAGCGGUUGGUCAAAGAAAAAGUGAUGUAUCAAAAAGAGGCAAAACAACAGGAAGAAAAGAUUGAAAAAAUGAGAGCUGAAGAUGGUGAAAAUUAUGACAUUAAAAAGCAGGUAGAGAUCCUACAAGAAUCCCGGAUGAUGAUCCCAGAUUGCCAGCGCAGGUUGGAAGCCGCAUAUUUGUAUCUUCAACAGAUAUUAGAAUGUGAAAAAGACUUGGAAGAAACUGAGGAAUAUAAAGAAGCACGUUUAGUACUGGAUUCAGUGAAGUUAGAAGCCUGAGACUUUUCUUGUAUGGGGUGGUUUUUGCAUUAAAUCCUGGGGUCCAUUUUACAAUCCAUUAUUUUUGACCACUGCU
Molecule: RNA transcript, 481 nt
Organism: Cercocebus atys (sooty mangabey)
Lineage: Eukaryota; Metazoa; Chordata; Mammalia; Primates; Cercopithecidae
Gene name: tubulin-specific chaperone A pseudogene
Exons: 2
Source: RefSeq, a predicted model, not a curated record